AUGUCGGGAGGCUUCUUCCGGGGGACGUCGGCCGACCAGGAUACCAGAUUCUCCAACAAGCAUGCCAAGCUGCUCAAGACGCAGAAGUUCGCGUCCGAGCUUGACCAUCAGGUGGACAUGUCAAAGGUGAAGAUGGACGUGAUGAAGCCGUGGAUUGCCACACGGGUCACCGAGCUUCUUGGGUUCGAGGACGAAGUUCUUAUCAACUUCAUCUACGGCCUGCUCGAUGCGAAGGAGGUGGACGGGAAGUACAUACAGAUCCAGCUGACAGGGUUCAUGGAGAAGAAUACAAUAAAGUUCAUGAGGGAGCUGUGGAGCCUCCUUCUCAGUGCGCAGCAGAAUGCCAGUGGUGUGCCCCAGCAAUUUUUGGAUGCAAAGGAGGCUGAGAUUCAGCAGAGAAAGGCGGAAGAGGCUAGAAUUGCCCAGGAGAUCCAGAAGAAGCGAGAGAAAGAUGGAAGGGACACAGAACUAGAUAAACACAAAAUGAUGGCCGGGGAUACUGGUAAUUCAAGAUCUCAUGGUGAUUCACUUGGCUCUGCUUUAAACAAUCCCAAUGUUGAUGCUGAGAAAGAAAAGGAACUGGACUUGAAGCAUAGCUCGAGAACAAAGAGCCGGGAACAUCGAAGACCUAGGAGCACAUCUUUGUCGCCCCGUGGUAGGCAACGGUCUAUUUCUCCAAGGAGGCGCUCUCCAUCCCCUUCCAGACAAAGAUCAUCACGACGUUCAGCUUCACCUAGGCGUUCUGUUUCCCCCCGAAGGCAUUCCCCAAGAGUUGCUCCUUCAGUGUCUAGGCGGAGGUCACCGUAUUCCAGGAGAUCACCUUCGGUACCUAGAUCCCCAUCACCCCGGCGGAGAUUUCCCAUUAGGAGAAGAUCUCCACCAUCUGGGCGACGUAGAUCACCAUCUCCUUAUCGCCGUCGGUCCCCAGCUCGCGCACCUAGAAGAUCACCAUCUCCUGCGCGUCGCAGAUCACCUCCUCGACACAGAUUACCAGCAGAUAGGCACCGGUCCCCAUCGCCAGGAAGACGCAGGCCACGGUCCCCAUCACCUGUAAGACGCAGGCCACGGUCCCCAUCACCUAGAAGGCAUAGACCACGUUCUCCAGGAAGACGGCAGUCCCUGUCACCUCACCGCUCACUGCAGUUGAGGUCACCAAAACGCCAGAGAAAAUCCCCAAUUUCAAUUAGGACGCUUUCUGCAAAUCGUCCAGUCUCUCCACAGCGGAGGAGGAGUAGCAGUCCACACAGCAGGAGUCCAAAUCGUUCACGUAGGAGUUCGAGCAGGGACGCAGAAAAGGGAACAAACGGUGCACCCUCCACUAAAGGCAGGGAUCUGGCUCAAAGGAACCAAGAAAGGAGUGGCCGAGAGUCACCGGAUUUUGAACACCGUAGGCUCACAAAAUCCUUGAGGUCUCCUACUAAUGAUGCAAAAAGAGAUUCCACACGUGGCAGUCCUUUGAAGGACACUGGGAAACAUAUGCCCAGUCAGGACAGCACAAAUACCAGUGGAGACGAGGAAGAAGGCGGGCGUGCAAGGGAGAAUGCACGGAAGGCCAAUUCAUCACGCAGGGUAUCCAAGGAUUUCUCAGCUGAUCUGCAACUAAAGGAAGUCAACGUUGAUAACUCAAUCCCUGGAGAAAAACCCUCUUCCAGAUCAAGACAGUAUGGCGGCAAGGAUGUCCCCAAGAAAUAUGAUAAUCAGCUAUCAGAUUCUUCAGAAGAUGCGCUUGAUGGUAGAAGAAUGAAACGCCAGGGUGAUUCCCCUGAUGAUUCUCCUGUGAAACGGCAGUCCCCUAGUAGAGCCGGCGACUCUUAUCCAAAGGAUGGGAUUAACAAUGAGCGUGCCAAAACGGAUUCAUUUGGUGCUUCUUAUGAUGCUAUUGCAGCGAAGAAAUACUCUGGUAAAGUUGAUGAAGCUUUCCAAUCAGAUGGUGGAAGUCCUCUUCAAAAAGCUAAGAAAAGAACAUAUGAUAGUAAACACAUUGAUCAUGGCAGUUCGGGCUCAGAAGAAUCUGAGAAACACAGAUCCCAGUCUGAGAAGCGAGGACAUAAAAAGGGUCACAAGCAUAAGAAGCAUUAUGAUGAUAGUUUUGAUUCUGAUUCUGACUCAGAUGACAAGGAGUCCAAGAGGAGGAGGCGAGAAGAGAAAAAGCUACGAAAAGAGGAAAGGCGCCUUAGACGUGAAGAACGGCACCGCAGAAGGGCGGACCGUCAUGCCAGUAAACAGAAAUUGAAGUAUGCUGGUUCUCCCCUGUCAGAUCUUGAGAAGGAUCGUCAAUCUGGCUCAGAUGCUGAUGUUGGGAAGAAAGGUUCAUACACUCCGAGAGAAGAACCUGACCCAAACAAACUUGAAAUUGAGCUUCGACAGAGAGCUCUUGAAUCUCUUGCAAAGAAAUCAAAGCAUGUUGUUACUCCCUCUUCAGAUGUCGAGAAGGACCGUGAAUCUGACUCGGAUGCUGAUGUUAGGAAGAGAGUUUCAUAG
RNAcentral lists this ribosomal RNA (2481 nucleotides) under Triticum aestivum (bread wheat). RNAcentral's name for it is "partial small subunit ribosomal RNA". Lineage: Eukaryota; Viridiplantae; Streptophyta; Magnoliopsida; Poales; Poaceae. The record is from RNAcentral.